RNAcentral lists this ribosomal RNA (253 nucleotides) under uncultured Leptospirillum sp. Its description in RNAcentral is "partial 16S ribosomal RNA". It matches the Rfam family "Bacterial small subunit ribosomal RNA", at positions 524 to 776 of the family's 1533-position model. The record is from RNAcentral. Lineage: Bacteria; Pseudomonadati; Nitrospirota; Nitrospiria; Nitrospirales; Nitrospiraceae.
GACAGAGGUGGCAAGCGUUGUUCGGAGUUACUGGGCGUAAAGAGUCUGUAGGUGGUUUGUCAAGUCUUUGGUAAAACGCCGUGGCUCAACCAUGGUUUGGCCAAGGAGACUGGGAGACUGGAGGCUGGGAGAGGGAAGCGGAAUUUCUGGUGUAGCGGUGAAAUGCGUAGAUAUCAGAAGGAAGGCCGGUGGCGAAGGCGGCUUCCUGGAACAGUCCUGACACUGAGAGACGAAAGCGUGGGGAGCAAACAGG